AUACCUUUCUCGGCCUUUUGGCUAAGAUCAAGUGUAGUAUCUGUUCUUAUCAGUUUAAUAUCUGAUAUGUGGGUUAUUAACCCACAUGAUAUUAAAUUAAUUUUUUAAGGGGAGGAAUCACCACAGUAGCUUGCUAUUGGGUCUCUCUUGUGUCGCUUGCGCGUUGCACUAUAGCACUGGCCUGGCACACCCCUACCAUUUUAGUUAAAUAUGUUUAUAUCUUUGUUAUUGGGCAUUGGCAAUAAAAUUUGAUUGUGCCAAUUCCUAACUGCGAUGUAAUUUUAAAUUUAUUUUUUUGUAGAUGAUUUUUUGAGUGAUCUGUGCUAUUGUUCACUAAUAGCUAUAGACUGUAUUCAUGGUUAGAAUUAUGAAGUUGAUGGGAUGGGUGGGGAAUUGAAAUUUGUAUAAUAUCUUUGAGAAACCCAUCAUCUAGUUUUUGGAAGUUAUCUCCCUAAAUUUCUCUAUGGGUAAUAGGUGAAGCAAAUUAAU
Lupinus albus (white lupine) is the source of this 489-nucleotide non-coding RNA. Lineage: Eukaryota; Viridiplantae; Streptophyta; Magnoliopsida; Fabales; Fabaceae. The record is from the annotation of a GenBank genome assembly.